Molecule: ribosomal RNA, 253 nt
Filed under: uncultured bacterium
Lineage: Bacteria
Description: partial 16S ribosomal RNA
Rfam family: Bacterial small subunit ribosomal RNA
Source: RNAcentral
UACGUAGGGCGCAAGCGUUGUCCGGAAUUAUUGGGCGUAAAGAGCUCGUAGGCGGCUUGUCACGUCGGGUGUGAAAGCCCGGGGCUUAACCCCGGGUCUGCAUUCGAUACGGGCUAGCUAGAGUGUGGUAGGGGAGAUCGGAAUUCCUGGUGUAGCGGUGAAAUGCGCAGAUAUCAGGAGGAACACCGGUGGCGAAGGCGGAUCUCUGGGCCAUUACUGACGCUGAAGAGCGGAAGCGUGGGGAGCGAACAGG